Hemicordylus capensis (graceful crag lizard) is the source of this 998-nucleotide long non-coding RNA. RefSeq lists it as uncharacterized. The record is from RefSeq and is a predicted model, not a curated record. The transcript is spliced from 3 exons. NCBI's taxonomy places the organism in Eukaryota, Metazoa, Chordata, Lepidosauria, Squamata, Cordylidae.
GGCCUCCGUGUAGGCCUCCCUGAAGCCUGAACUCUGCAGGCCCCAAGGAAGCCAGGAAGAAGAUGGCAGGCAGAGUUCUCUGCAGCAGCAGACCCUCUGCCCAGAAUAUCCAGCACAGCUUUUGCCAGUUACUCAAAGCAACAUAUAUGUGGCUAUCCCAAUUUUAACUUCGCAAUGGCCCUCCAAGUGAAUCAUCUUUUGAGUUACUUACUGGCUUAUGAAGUGAGCUUCAUAACUGAGCAGGGAUUUGAAUCCAGCUCUUCCUAUUCCAUAACAGGUUAAUUUUCCAAUCCACUAAUGAAGAGCUCUGUGAAAUCUGAAAGAUUUGCUUGCCCCAACCUAAACUGCUCUAAGAGAAGACAACAUUUUGCUUUUAUAUAGAGAGGGUGUUCUCACAUGCAGCCAAGACCAGGCUAAGGCAGCCAAGCUCGGUCUUGGCUGCGCAUGAGAUCCAAUGGCAACCACGCAGCUCCCGCCGGCAAUUCUGUUAAGAACAUUUGGGGUAGUAUACCAACGAUAAAACACUUUAUACUAGUUUUCCCUAAGAUUGUUACUUGAAGUAAAUUUAAUGUUCUUUUCCCAUUGAAAUUGAAGUAAUUUGUAAGUAUUGAAACCAAGGAGGCUUUUGUGUCGAUUCCGAUGUAUUUGAAUAGAUUUCGGUUUUACAUUAUUCAAAGUCAGAUUUUGUAAAAUAUAUGUCUUCUCUCUCCAAAGGUUAUAUUUACUGGUCCAUUCUUCCUCAUGCAAAUAAAGGGGCCUGCUGUUUAGCCAGGGUUAAGAGCCCAAGGGCACCCUUAACUUGGGAUAAAAUCUCUCGUAUUCGAACCAACUUGGAUGGAGACUCUGAAUUGAGGGUGUCCAGCAAUUCCUCUUAUGUGGUUCGACUGGAUCAGUUUCAGUUUGUGACUCCUGAGGAUGUGGACAAGCUGCUUAGAAAGAUGAGGCCUACCACUUGUCCUCUUGACCCUUGCCUGACAUCUAGCAGGGAGACUGUUGUA